This 967-nucleotide long non-coding RNA is filed under the name Cyanistes caeruleus (blue tit). Its description in RNAcentral is "lncRNA (ENSCCEG00000023223.1)". The record is from RNAcentral. Lineage: Eukaryota; Metazoa; Chordata; Aves; Passeriformes; Paridae.
AUGGUUUCUUACUCCUUCUUUUCUGGAACAUCUCCGCUAUCAUCAAUAUUCAAUUUUCCCUCAGCUUCUAAUAGAUGGAAAUGCCAAUGCCAAGGUGGGCAGGUACGCACAGGUAGCCCCAGGGGUACCCCCAUCCCUGCUCCAGGACCCCCUCCCUCUUCCCACACAGGUGUGAGGGGCAGCCCCACCUGCACCGCUCCUCCCAAGGGAAUGGGAUGUGUGCAGCUCCCAGCCCAGCGUCCUGCUGGAGAUCCCAACUCACCUCAUGCCUCUGCCCAAGUCCUUGUGCAGCCCGCCAUGUUCCUGCCUCUCCUCAUGGAUCCGCGGCUCAGCCCAGAACCACUUUUAGAAGUACAAGACAAGUGAAGGAAAAAUGUUUACAAACUUCUGUGGAAAGAAUCAGAAUGGUGCUACAGAGACCACGUUAAGAGCUGUCAGCCCUGACCAGUUGAUUGUGUUUAAAGAUACUGAGGCAAAACCUUGAAAUCCAGUUCAGAGAAGGAUGCUGAGAACGCCCGUGCCUUUGAAAAGCAAUCCUGGCAGUAUAUGAAUUUGGUGUUUUAGCAGCCAAUAGUGAUUACACUUGAAAAGCAACUGGACAAAAUCAUGCAGGGAACAACUGGCAAGAACGGUUCCAUUCAAGCACUUUCACUGCUUUCAAAGAUCCUGAGUCAGAAAACUGUGGAAGCUGGUGAUGACUGAGGAGCAUCAGCAUCUCUGUGCCUUGUCCUCGUGCUUUUGCUGGGGCUGUGAGCAGACAGGGCUACUGCACCUUCGGUGUGAGCUACUGAAUCAUGCUUUAGGGUUAAGUUUUCUAUGUUGCAGCAUCCCUAACUAAAUAUCACAACUAUCUUUCCCCAUUUUGUUGUUUUAGUGAGCUGAUUUGAUUUGAAUCACAUUUUAGAGAUGUACUUUGCACUUCUAUCUAAUGAAUAAAAAUCUAAAAAGUGUCCUAAAAUAGAGAAAG